GCUGCAGACAGCUAGAAUGCUCAGUUGAAAAUAUAAAUGCUGAAUUCAUGAGAAUUUUGUUGAACAGAAAUAGGCAUAUUAACGUUCCUUAUCUUUUAAUCAAUCAAUCAACUGACAUCAAAACCAAAGCAAAAUAAACAAGAGCAGACAAAUAGCAACUGAUGCGUUUUAAUUUUUCGUCCAUAUUCCAUUCGUAAUUAUUCCAUCGUAAAUUAUUUUUAAUAGAACCUUCAGACCUGGAUAAUUUUCUAUGUCUUCUAAAGCCAAAUGGUGUUUAGCUGGAGCUACUGGUCUUGCUGUAUUUAUUAUAGGAUAUGUUCACUUAAAGCAAGAAUGGGAAAUAGAGAAACUACAUUCUGGGGUGAUUAAAGAUAUGGAAAGACAAAAAUUAAAAAAAUUACAAAAAGAACUCAACUCGAAAGAUAGAACUGAAAUUUCUAUAAAUAAGAAUUUGUAAUUUAUUGUGUUAGUACAUUCUUGCAGUCAUGUAUAUUAAUUUUCUGAAAUAAACUAUUAGUUGAAUAUUUACUCUA
Molecule: non-coding RNA, 533 nt
Organism: Parasteatoda tepidariorum (common house spider)
Lineage: Eukaryota; Metazoa; Arthropoda; Arachnida; Araneae; Theridiidae
Source: RefSeq, a predicted model, not a curated record